Molecule: ribosomal RNA, 468 nt
Filed under: uncultured bacterium
Lineage: Bacteria
Description: partial 16S ribosomal RNA
Rfam family: Bacterial small subunit ribosomal RNA
Source: RNAcentral
GACGAACGCUGGCGGCGUGCUUAACACAUGCAAGUCGAACGGAAAGGCCCUGCUUUUGUGGGGUGCUCGAGUGGCGAACGGGUGAGUAACACGUGAGUAACCUGCCCUUGACUUUGGGAUAACUUCAGGAAACUGGGGCUAAUACCGGAUAGGAGCUCCUGCUGCAUGGUGGGGGUUGGAAAGUUUCGGCGGUUGGGGAUGGACUCGCGGCUUAUCAGCUUGUUGGUGGGGUAGUGGCUUACAAAGGGUUUGACGGGUAGCCGGCCUGAGAGGGUGGCCGGCGACAUUGGGCCUGAGAGACGGCCCAGACUCCUACGGGAGGCAGCAGUGGGGAAUAUUGCACAAUGGGCGGAAGCCUGAGGCAGCAACGCCGCGUGCGUGAUGACGGCCUUCGGGUUGUAAACCGCUUUCGCCUGUGACGAAGCGUGAGUGACGGUAAUGGGUAAAGAAGCACCGGCUAACUACGUG